RNAcentral lists this ribosomal RNA (440 nucleotides) under uncultured bacterium. Its description in RNAcentral is "partial 16S ribosomal RNA". It matches the Rfam family "Bacterial small subunit ribosomal RNA", at positions 338 to 795 of the family's 1533-position model. The record is from RNAcentral.
CCUACGGGAGGCAGCAGUAGGGAAUAUUGCUCAAUGGGGGAAACCCUGAAGCAGCAACGCCGCGUGGAGGAUGAAGGUUUUCGGAUUGUAAACUCCUUUUGUUAGAGAAGAUAAUGACGGUAUCUAACGAAUAAGCACCGGCUAACUCCGUGCCAGCAGCCGCGGUAAUACGGAGGGUGCAAGCGUUACUCGGAAUCACUGGGCGUAAAGAGCGCGUAGGCGGGAUAGCAAGUCAGAUGUGAAAUCCUAGGGCUUAACCAUAGAACUGCAUUUGAAACUGUUAUUCUAGAGUAUGGGAGAGGUAGGUGGAAUUCUUGGUGUAGGGGUAAAAUCCGUAGAGAUCAAGAGGAAUACGCAUUGCGAAGGCGACCUGCUAGAACAUAACUGACGCUGAUGCGCGAAAGCGUGGGGAGCAAACAGGAUUAGAUACCCGUGUAGUC